UACGACUACAUAUCAGGCAUAUCAAUAAGCGGAGGAAAAGAAACUAACAAGGAUUCCCCUAGUAACGGCGAGUGAAGCGGGAAGAGCUCAAAUUUGAAAUCUUAAAGGGUUUCCCUUUACGAAUUGUAGUUUAAAGAAGUGUUUUCUGUUGGAGCUUCGGUAAAAGUUCUUUGGAAUAGGACAUCAUAGAGGGUGAGAAUCCCGUAUUUGACCGUUACUUUCCAGCUGUGUGAUACACUUUCAAAGAGUCGGAUUGUUUGGGAAUGCAGUCCAAGAUGGGUGGUAAAUUUCAUCUAAAGCUAAAUAUUGGCGAGAGACCGAUAGCGAACAAGUACCGUGAGGGAAAGAUGAAAAGAACUUUGAAAAGAGAGUUAAACAGUACGUGAAAUUGUCAAAAGGGAAGCGUUUGACACCAGUGUUGUUUAGUUGAAAAUCAAUUCAAUAGUUUUUGACUCUAAGUAGUAUUGACUUCAUCAGCUUGCUGCUUUCUUCUCAGAAAUUAUUGAAUGCACUUUUCAGUUAACAAGUCAACAUCAAUUUCUUUUGUUGUAAAAGGGUAAGAGGAAGGUGGCUUGCGCUUCGGCUCAAGUGUUUAUAGCCUUUUAUCUCUGCAAUCGGAGAGAUUGAGGUCUGCAGCGUAGAUCCUUCGGGGUUAGAUACAUUGGUGCUAAGCUAUAGCCUUGUAUAGACAACUUGUUGACUAUGCUCAGUCAUGUAGCUUACUCGCUGAUGCUAUUUUACCUACGCUUAGGAUGUUGAGUAGCGACAUACGCAC
Molecule: ribosomal RNA, 775 nt
Filed under: uncultured Neocallimastigales
Lineage: Eukaryota; Fungi; Neocallimastigomycota; Neocallimastigomycetes; Neocallimastigales
Description: partial large subunit ribosomal RNA
Rfam family: Eukaryotic large subunit ribosomal RNA
Source: RNAcentral